GACGAACGCUGGCGGCGUGCUUAACACAUGCAAGUCGAACGGAAAGGCCCUGCUUUUGUGGGGUGCCCGAGUGGCGAACGGGUGAGUAACACGUGAGUAACCUGCCCUUGACUUUGGGAUAACUUCAGGAAACUGGGGCUAAUACCGGAUAGGAGCUCCUGCUGCAUGGUGGGGGUUGGAAAGUUUCGGCGGUUGGGGAUGGACUCGCGGCUUAUCAGCUUGUUGGUGGGGUAGUGGCUUACCAAGGCUUUGACGGGUAGCCGGCCUGAGAGGGUGACCGGCCACAUUGGGACUGAGAUACGGCCCAGACUCCUACGGGAGGCAGCAGUGGGGAAUAUUGCACAAUGGGCGGAAGCCUGAUGCAGCAACGCCGCGUGCGGGAUGACGGCCUUCGGGUUGUAAACCGCUUUCGCCUGUGACGAAGCGUGAGUGACGGUAAUGGGUAAAGAAGCACCGGCUAACUACGUGCCAGCAGCCGCGGUGAUACGUAGGGUGCGAGCGUUGUCCGGAUUUAUUGGGCGUAAAAGGGCUCGUAGGUGGUUGAUCGCGUCGGAAGUGUAAUCUUGGGGCUUAACCCUGAGCGUGCUUUCGAUACGGGUUGACUUGAGGAAGGUAGGGGAGAAUGGAAUUCCUGGUGGAGCGGUGGAAUGCGCAGAUAUCAGGAGGAACACCAGUGGCGAAGGCGGUUCUCUGGGCCUUUCCUGACGCUGAGGAGCGAAAGCGUGGGGAGCGAACAGGCUUAGAUACCCUGGUAGUCCACGCUGUAAACGGUGGGUACUAGGUGUGGGGUCCAUUCCACGGGUUCCGUGCCGUAGCUAACGCUUUAAGUACCCCGCCUGGGGAGUACGGCCGCAAGGCUAAAACUCAAAGGAAUUGACGGGGCCCCGCACAAGCGGCGGAGCAUGCGGAUUAAUUCGAUGCAACGCGUAGAACCUUACCUGGGUUUGACAUGGAUCGGGAGUGCUCAGAGAUGGGUGUGCCUCUUUUGGGGUCGGUUCACAGGUGGUGCAUGGCUGUCGUCAGCUCGUGUCGUGAGAUGUUGGGUUAAGUCCCGCAACGAGCGCAACCCUUGUUCACUGUUGCCAGCACGUUAUGGUGGGGACUCAGUGGAGACCGCCGGGGUCAACUCGGAGGAAGGUGGGGAUGACGUCAAGUCAUCAUGCCCCUUAUGUCCAGGGCUUCACGCAUGCUACAAUGGCUGGUACAGAGAGUGGCGAGCCUGUGAGGGUGAGCGAAUCUCGGAAAGCCGGUCUCAGUUCGGAUUGGGGUCUGCAACUCGACCUCAUGAAGUCGGAGUCGCUAGUAAUCGCAGAUCAGCAACGCUGCGGUGAAUACGUUCCCGGG
This 1344-nucleotide ribosomal RNA is filed under the name uncultured bacterium. RNAcentral describes it as "16S ribosomal RNA". It matches the Rfam family "Bacterial small subunit ribosomal RNA", at positions 28 to 1378 of the family's 1533-position model. The record is from RNAcentral.